CCUACGGGAGGCUGCAGUCGAGAAUCAUUCACAAUGGGGGAAACCCUGAUGGUGCGACGCCGCGUGGGGGAAUGAAGGUCUUCGGAUUGUAAACCCCUGUCAUGUGGGAGCAAAUUAAAAAGAUAGUACCACAAGAGGAAGAGACGGCUAACUCUGUGCCAGCAGCCGCGGUAAUACAGAGGUCUCAAGCGUUGUUCGGAAUCACUGGGCGUAAAGCGUGCGUAUGCUGUUUCGUAAGUCGUGUGUGAAAGGCGCGGGCUCAACCCGCGGACGGCACAUGAUACUGCGAGACUAGAGUAAUGGAGGGGGAAGCGGAAUUCUCGGUGUAGCAGUGAAAUGCGUAGAUAUCGAGAGGAACACUCGUGGCGAAGGCGGGUUCCUGGGACGGUUCUGACACUAAGGCACGAAAGCGUAGGGAGCAAACGGGAUUAGAUACCCCGGUAGUC
This 446-nucleotide ribosomal RNA is filed under the name uncultured bacterium. Its description in RNAcentral is "partial 16S ribosomal RNA". It matches the Rfam family "Bacterial small subunit ribosomal RNA", at positions 338 to 795 of the family's 1533-position model. The record is from RNAcentral.